Molecule: long non-coding RNA, 1132 nt
Filed under: Phasianus colchicus (ring-necked pheasant)
Lineage: Eukaryota; Metazoa; Chordata; Aves; Galliformes; Phasianidae
Description: lncRNA (ENSPCLG00000020805.1)
Source: RNAcentral
GUUGUGUUCUCCUGUGCCUCACAAAAAGGAAAAAAGAAAACAGCAUACGUGCUCAUAAGCUGGAAAGCAUGGAGAGAAGCUGUACAAAUCAUGGCAUGUUUCACAGUGCAAGGAUGCAUAGAGAAGUCUGUUGAGUUUUCAAUACAAUAAGAUUUCUCAGCCCCCACAAGCUCAGACAGACCCAAGAUACCCACAUUAGAAAGGCAAGCUUAGUAUUUCACCUAUUUAUGUAUCUGUCUGCACUGAAUUUCCUUUAGGUUCAUCUGGGAGCUGCUCAGCUACAUCUGACUUUCAUUUGGUUUGGAAAUUAUUUUCCCCCUGUUUCUUGUCACUUCCUGUAAAGUUUCACCCAACGAUCUGGCCAAUGGGGAGCUAAGCUCUAAAUUAGCACAAGUUCAGUUGCAAGCAUAACGGAAUUAAAAAAGAAGGAACCAGUAAAACCACGCUCUUGACACCAGCUCAAAACGUUCAGUUCCAGAACUGGAUCCAAAACUGAACUUUGCUGUUUAGAACUAUCUUCUGUGAGCCCUCAUUUCUCAGGUGGAAGUCUGUAACCUGCUGCCAAUGCAGGCAUAUUUCACGAAAUUCAGUGGGAAGACUUGGUUGGUAAAAAAGGUCAGCAUCUGCAUUCUCUGGAGGCAACAAAACACUGGCUUCCUUACACAGAAAAUGGACACUAGGACAAGAAGAUCUUCUAAGUCCAAAGGGAAACCACCAUCUACAUCACUACAAAUGACAAAAUCCAAACAACUUGUUCAAGAUCACACAGUGAUAUCAGCGCUCAGAACAGGAGCCAAGAGUCAUCACCUUUAACCAGCAGAUAACCCUUUCGUCGUGUGGUUUUGGACAGCUGACAGUGCAUCAGGCAGUAUGGUACACAGCUGUAGGCAGGAUAGGGAGUUCAGAAUUCAAUUUCCAUGAGUUAUGAGAAGUCCCUCGUGAAAAUACUCACUUCAGUGUCUGAUCUCAGUCCAUUCUCUGUCUCCAUAAAAUGAGGAGGAGAAAACAAUCUUUCUUUAUACUAUGCUUUAAGAUUCACAGAUAAAACACAUUUUUUAGAGCUCUGAUUCUUUCUUUAAAAAUUCAUAGCAUCAUUUUCCCUUUUGCCCCCAUUUCAGCUAACCAAAAAUUC